RNAcentral lists this long non-coding RNA (269 nucleotides) under Elaeis guineensis (African oil palm). RNAcentral's name for it is "long non-coding RNA (EGUI_LNC020933)". Lineage: Eukaryota; Viridiplantae; Streptophyta; Magnoliopsida; Arecales; Arecaceae. The record is from RNAcentral.
CUUCCCUCUUCUUUUCCCUCCCUUCUCUUCCCUUUCCUAGCUGUUGCUUGGUGGUGGUAGCUGCUGCUAUAGGAGAGUUCUUCAACAGAGUAACUCUUAACCCUCUUGUAUUUAAUCAAUUUCAAUUAAAAGUUAACUAUUGUAUGGUGGGAUGGUGAGAGAGGUGAAGAUAGUAAGUUGAAAACAUCGAGAAGAGGAAUGAUUUGAGAAGGGACUGUUGGAGAAGAUUGAGUGAUAGGAGAGAUGAGGAUGUUAAUAAUAAUAGAACC